GGAGAAACGUAAGCCAAACAAAAUGUCUGAGACUUGAAUUUGGCCCACGGGCCUCCGGUUGGAGACCUAACGUGCAUCUCCUCACAUAUACCCCGUUAUACUUUUCACCGGCCUCUUUCUGUGUGACCUCCCCUCAUCCAUCCAUAGCUGCUGCCAGUCCUUUAAACUUCCCUUUCUUUGCUCAAGAACCUGCCAUAGCUCCCCACAUCUCCUAGAAUGCAGUCCUAUUAGUUUCGAUUCUUCAAACUGAGGUGCGCACCUUUCCCUGAAGGCUCAUCGCUCCCGUUUUUCGCCCAUGACUCGUCUGUACACUUUUGCUCCUGACACCCUGCAAUUCCCACCUUAACGCAUUUGCCCAUGCGCCUUCCUCCUCCAGACUGGGGCUUGGCUCCUAGCAUCCCCGCGAAGUCUUCAGGGACCCACCUUUUGGAGAGCUUGGUCCCAGGAAGGAGGGUCGGGCACAGGGGGAGGGGCGGGGAAUAGAAGGCCAGAAGCAGGUCACCGUGUAUUGGGUGUUGACCACGUCAAUCACCUCUGCUCGACCCAAUAGGCUGAGGUCUCCACUAGCAAAGGCAGAGCGGCGGCCUCAAAAAAGAGGCAAAGCUUUCAGAAGGAAACGUGAGGCAGCGUAAGUGUUAGACAGAGUCCUCAGGGACCUGGAGGAGGGAAUUUUUCAAACCUGAAGUCACACAGGUAAAGGGCCCUUAGAGAUCAAGAAAUGUACUCUGUUUUCCGGGGGAAAACUGAGGCCAGAGGAGGUCUCCGAGAAUUCCCAGAGAAAUUGCUGAAACAGGAAGGUGAGAAGAGAAAGGCAGGAUCUGUCAGAUGUCAGGGUGUCCUUUACAACACUGUCCCCAAAUGAAGAUCCCAUCACUAACCCCAGCUCCGUCCUCUAACCGCCCCCCCGCGCCGGGGAGCCACACGGACCACAAACAUUCCAGCCGCCCGGUCUGAGCCAAAUCUGCGGUCCAGGUGCCCGUUCUGCCCAUCUUGCCUCAUAAGCCUCAAAUCUGGCCCUUGUCUCCCCACCUUCUGUCCCACUCCGACCUUCUCCCUAACCUCCCGACCUGUCUUCUUCGCUCCCUUCACAGCAUAAACCUGCCCCUGCCUCUCCCUUGCUCACAACCUUGCCGUGGCUCCCCAGUGCCCUUGGAAGAAAACCCAAGCCCCUCUCCACGGCCUUCAGGGCCCUGCCAACAUCUCCAGCCUCGUGUCUCCCGGUGACUCUGCUCACUGCCAGCCAUAGGCCAGUUGCUCUAGCUGCUCAUCAUUCUCCCAGUUGCUGCUGAGCUGCUCCUCCUCCAGGAAGCCCUCCCUGGCUAUGACUGGCACCCCCUUGGCCCUCCCCAGCCUCUGCCCACCCCACCCCCGGACCCAGGAUCAUCAUUGAGGAUGCAGCUGCCUUCUCCAUUAGACUGAGCCUGAUGACGGCAGGGCUGGGGCAGUCUUGGUCACCACUAUGUCCCCAGCACAGGGCUGGGCAUACGGGAAGCCCUCAGGGAUUGAGAUUUCCAGACAGGGUUGGUGGGGUCCCCACCCUACCCACUCCCACGACUCAAUAUAUACACUUUGCAACAGACCCCUAUUCUGGCCUCGCUCUUAAGGCAGGAAUGCGGUUCUGCCCCAGACCCUGAAUUUUUCCACACUGACCACUCAAGUCUCUACCAACUCCCCGUUUUCAUUUUAGUUUCCUAUCAGCCCCAUGAAGAACACAAGGGCAGACUCUACCACGCCCCAAGUGGGCAAUUGAGGCACAGUAAACUAAGCCUCUUCCCUACAUACAAUCCUCCAAUGGCUCUCCAGUGCCCUUGGAUGAGAGCCCACCCCUCGCUCACUUUGGCCUUUUGUGAACAAGCUCCUCCGCUCCCCCCCCCCCCCCAACCUACUGCUUAACUCUACUCAGUUUCCAUUUCCUUCCUCUGGCUAAGGUCACCUGGACUUUCCUCUGGGGAACCCCUCUAAGUCCAGCUCUAGGAAGGGGCCUGGCCACUCCAGAGCAACAGUGACUGGUUCAGGGAUGGUCACAUGACUUCUCUGGGCCAAUAAGAGCCUGUCUUGGGAUUUUCGACAAAAGUAGGCAAUGAGCAACUUUCUGCUAGACGAAGGGAAACUAGACAAAGGGAUGAGAGGUUGGAACUGCUGGGUGAAACCACUAACCUCACGGUAAAAUAAAACCAGAGGUGAGGUGGCCCGCUGCCUGGAUCCAGCCGUACCUGAAGUCGGGCACCCCCAGACUAUUAAGGAACAUAAGCAAACAAAUAACUUUUGCUUAUAUGUAGAUGGAUUAUUAGUCCUAACACGGUAUUUCUCUUGCUAAUUCUCCACCAGCCCCAACAUAGCAGCCACACCAAAAUUACCCGAAGUUCUCUGAAGGCUUAUCACGCACUCCUACAAACCGGCUUUUGCCCAGCGCAUACCCAAUACGCGGUCAACUCCUACUCGUCCUUCAAAGUCCAACUCCGGUAUCCUCUCCUCUCUGGAGUGGCUUCCCCUACUCCCCUCACGUUCUCUUCUGGCCUCCCCAAAGCAAUGGUUUCUCUAGUGUUUGUGUCAGAACCCCCGUCCCCCACAGACAGGGGCUCCUUGUGUCUCCGUGUCCAGCACCGGGCCUGGCACGGAGUAGGCACAGGUCAAUGACUGUUUAUUGAAUAAAUGUGCUACUGGAGUUAAGAA
Neofelis nebulosa (Clouded leopard) is the source of this 2673-nucleotide long non-coding RNA. RefSeq lists it as uncharacterized. Lineage: Eukaryota; Metazoa; Chordata; Mammalia; Carnivora; Felidae. The transcript is spliced from 2 exons. The record is from RefSeq and is a predicted model, not a curated record.